RNAcentral lists this ribosomal RNA (253 nucleotides) under uncultured bacterium. Its description in RNAcentral is "partial 16S ribosomal RNA". It matches the Rfam family "Bacterial small subunit ribosomal RNA", at positions 524 to 776 of the family's 1533-position model. The record is from RNAcentral.
GACGAACCGUGCGAACGUUGUUCGGAAUCACUGGGCGUAAAGCGCACGUAGGCGGCUUCUCAAGUCAGGGGUGAAAUCCUGGAGCUCAACUCCAGAACUGCCUUUGAUACUGAGGGGCUCGAGUCCGGGAGAGGUGAGUGGAACUGCGAGUGUAGAGGUGAAAUUCGUAGAUAUUCGCAAGAACACCAGUGGCGAAGGCGGCUCACUGGCCCGGUACUGACGCUGAGGUGCGAAAGCGUGGGGAGCAAACAGG